UACAGAGGUCUCAAGCGUUGUUCGGAUUCAUUGGGCGUAAAGGGUGCGUAGGCGGCGCGGUAAGUCGGGUUUGAAAUUUCGAGGCUUAACUUCGAAACUGCAUUCGAUACUGCCGUGCUUGAGGACUGGAGAGGAGACUGGAAUUUACGGUGUAGCGGUGAAAUGCGUAGAUAUCGAGAGGAACACCUGCGGCGAAGGCGGGUUGCUGGGCGGACACUGACGCUGAUGCGCGAAAGCCAGGGGAGCGAACGGG
RNAcentral lists this ribosomal RNA (253 nucleotides) under uncultured bacterium. RNAcentral describes it as "partial 16S ribosomal RNA". It matches the Rfam family "Bacterial small subunit ribosomal RNA", at positions 524 to 776 of the family's 1533-position model. The record is from RNAcentral.